CAGCAUUUUCUUCAAGCAAAUAUGCUUUUACCAUUAAAAAUAAAAUUUCCUAAAUAGCAAGACACCAUUCAGAAAAGCAUGUCAAUUUUGGCAGGGCACAGUGGCUCACGCCUGUAAUCCCAGCACUAUGGGAGACCAAGGUGGUGGAUCACUUGAGGUCAGGAGUUCGAGACCAGAAUUUUUUUUUUCUUUUUUUUUUCUGAGAUAGGGUCUAGUUCUGCCUAGGCUGGAGU
RNAcentral lists this long non-coding RNA (233 nucleotides) under Homo sapiens (human). RNAcentral describes it as "non-protein coding lnc-SELENOF-1:1". The record is from RNAcentral. Lineage: Eukaryota; Metazoa; Chordata; Mammalia; Primates; Hominidae.